AUUGAACGCUGGCGGAAUGCCUUACACAUGCAAGUCGAACGGUAGAGGGGGCAACCCCUCGAGAGUGGCGAACGGGUGAGUAAUAUAUCGGUACGUGCCCAGUCGUGGGGGAUAACGUAGCGAAAGUUACGCUAAUACCGCAUACGAUCUAAGGAUGAAAGCGGGGGAUCGCAAGACCUCGCGCGAUUGGAGCGGCCGAUAUCAGAUUAGGUAGUUGGUGGGGUAAAGGCUCACCAAGCCAACGAUCUGUAGCUGGUCUGAGAGGACGACCAGCCACACUGGAACUGAGACACGGUCCAGACGCCUACGGGAGGCAGCAGUGGGGAAUUUUGGACAAUGGACGCAAGUCUGAUCCAGCCAUUCCGCGUGCAGGAUGAAGGCCCUCGGGUUGUAAACUGCUUUUGUACGGAACGAAAAGGUCUCUCUUAAUACGGGGGGCUCAUGACGGUACCGUAAGAAUAAGCACCGGCUAACUACGUGCCAGCCGCCGCCGUAA
RNAcentral lists this ribosomal RNA (496 nucleotides) under uncultured bacterium. RNAcentral's name for it is "partial 16S ribosomal RNA". It matches the Rfam family "Bacterial small subunit ribosomal RNA", at positions 30 to 523 of the family's 1533-position model. The record is from RNAcentral.